AUUGCAAGAACAUUUGCUUUAAAACUGCUAGGUGUUAUUUUCACCCCAUGACAAAAUGUGUAUAAUUUCAGGAAAUAAACCUGUAAAAUUCUCUCCACCAGCAGGAGAGUUGUGAACAGUUUGUCAUGAACAGUGCUUGUGCCCAUAGAAAUAGAUGUGGUGCGCGCGGGAUGUUCCCCAAUGCUGGAAGGAGGGCCCUGAGGGAAAACGUUUGGGAACCCCUGUGUUAGAGCACCCGAGUGGUCAGCGGUCUAAGGCACUGCAUCUCAGUGCUGGAGGUGUCACUACAGACACCCUGGGCCGAAUCCAGGCUGUAUCACAACCGGCCAUGAUUGGGACUCCUAUAGGGCGGCACACAAUUGGCCCAGCGUCGUCCGGGUUUGGCCCGUGUAGGACGUCAUUGUAAAUAAGAAUUUGAUCUUAACUGAAGUUGUGGAAAUAUUAAGUCAAAUAUUUGCACCGAUACCGGAACUUGGAACUUGUAAAAGUUUAGACUUUAUUACAGAGUAACACAAAGUAACAGAGCCGAGCAAUUCCAUGGAACGACUGACUUCUCCUGCCCUGGACCUCUGUUUUUAUAGCCUUCCUUCUUUGCAUAGCAUAAAGAGCUACCUCCUUCUAUAUGGAUAAUAACUCCCCUUGCCUCUCCGCCACUAUUAUCUUCCAGUCUCAGUUCUUGUUAACGCACACAUCUGCUACAGUCUAGAUUAUAAUGGUGGCUGUGAUACAAAAAAGAAUACAUUUAUUACAUACAUGUGUUUCCAGUACAACCAUUGUUUGUUUUGUUGCAUUUUCUGCUGACAUUCUGUUUCUAUAUGUCUGGUUUUUAGCUUCAUGUACCUCUUCCUGCUGACAUGCAAUGUCUACAUGUCUGGUGAGGGUUUCCAUAUGUAUUUUAUGCUGACAUUAUGUUAUCACUGUAGUCUAAUUUUCAAUUCUAUGUUUAUCUAGCUUUGUCCAUCGUUAUAUAUUUUCACCUGUCCUAAGGCUUCAAAGUGGUCAGUCUAAAAACUAGAACUACAAUCAUUGACACAUGGGUUUUUGCUCCUACACUGACUUGCCUAGUUAAAUAAAGGUUAAAUAAAAUAAAUAUAUAUAAAUAAAAUAGAGCAUUUACAGCAGUUUCCACUAGCACAGCCACAAAGUCAAAAUUGGCAGUAUCGUAAACAUUUAUGAAAACAAAAUAAUCCUUUUUAGUCUUAAUUAAAGGUUAGGCAUGAUUUUGGCAGUGUGGUUAAGGUUAGGUUUAAAAUCACAUUUUAAUUAGAUAAAUUGUAGAAAUAGGUGGGGUUCAGGACUUUAUGGCUGUGGUAACGAGACCAUGAGCGCCAUUGAGGCCAUCUCCAUUUUGAAGUAGACCAUUUUCUUCCUCUACUACUUCUUUGAGUUGGAAAACAUACAUACUAUAAAGCCAAGGUUGACGAUUUACUUCCACUUUCAUUUACGGAAUGUUUCCUCACAAGGUAUAAUUCAUUGGCUGAUCCCUCCCGAUGACCUGGAUGGAAUUAGGUGAUCAUCCCUUAAUCCAUAGGGUUGAAUCAUGUCUUACAAGUGGGCUACACUUUAAGUGUGGUAAUUUUAGCAUAUGGAAGUACACUUUGUUGUCAUUUUAUAGUACUAUUACAAAGUACGAAAAUAUAUGCACUCACAAAGUCGCUCUGGAUACUAGUUAUUUUUUUAUUUUGUAGGGGUAAUUCAACGAGAAUUACCCAGGCCACCUUGACCUAUGGGAUGGUGGUUUAUUUUUGUAGAGGUAAUUCUGUGAAAAUGACCCAGUGAAUGAGCUGUUUGUGAAAAUGACCCAGUGAAUGAGCUGUUUGUGAAAAUGACCCAGUGAAUGAGCUGUUUGUGAAAAUGACCCAGUGAAUGAGCUGUUUAUGAAUAGUGCGUUGUAUGUUUCAUUGUUUGUUUGUCUGUGGAUUAUGGUGGGGUUUAUUGGGUAAUGGCCCAAUGGUGGAAUAAAAAGUUAGGAGUAGGACAGAAGUUAUUUGAAUAAAAGGUUGAACAUAUUUGUUAGUGACAUUUUUCUACAAUAGGAAAUGUACAACCCUUAGUAUACCAGUAAAAUUAUUACAAGGAAGUUGUGUUCUGUAGAGAUUUUCAUCGAAAAUUACUUUGUGACGCUAUCACCAGGGGGCACUGGUGUAUAACAUAUUACUGUUACUCUGCACCCUUAAGAUAUAAUAUUCAUGCGGUUGUAUAUCAUGCGGUUGUCUCUGUGAGGCCCGUGUGUGAAAUAUAUUUGCGUUUAGUAGAACCAUUUACUAUAGCCUGGAUUAAGUGAGCGUAGAAAUAGGAUUACAGUAUCAUCCACUGUUGUUUAACACACUAAAAGGAGAUAGAUAAUAAUUUAUAUAGGCAUACUGCUACAUAUUACGCCCACUUUAGGAUAACCCUAUAGGAAUUAAACAAUACAUUACACGCAGACUAGCUAAAUAAAAAGCCGGAGCACCAUGGCACAGUGGAACCAGAAUGAGGAGAUAGGAGCAAUGAAGCCUGUACAAGACUAGGUUGGAUUUAGUCAAGGAGAUAAUUCAGACAAGAAAAAUGGACAAAAAGAAAGUGGAUGAAGAAGAGUACCCUCGUAUCAGAAACUGUGAUAGGAAUGAUGAUGCUGAAAGGACAGAUCUUUCUGAACAAGGCUACCGCGACCAAACUAAAGCUGGAGAGAACAAUAGAGUGCGGGAGGAAAGAAAUGAGUCAGGACAGAGGCAGAACAGGAAUACUCCCUACCGCCGUAUGAGACUUAACCCAGAGGAGAGGGUAGAUACACAGAUCUACCCUCUCACACCACUGACAGAAGAAAAUGGAGAAGUAACCACAACUGUCCUCACGGGGACUCUGAUGAAGGAGGUGAAUGACACAACAGCAGCAACGAGCGGCAUGAGAACAAUAGAAUUGGAUGGGGGAAAAGGAGGCACAGUUCCUGGAGGGAGUAUCCCUCGACACCCCAACUCACUCCACAAAAAAAAAACAUACUGGCAGACCCUAGACAUAUGGCCGUCUGUAGAAAACAAACUAACAAUUAAAGAAGUAAAAGAACAGUGUUACCAUCCAUGGGUGACCUAUUCAGAGACCAGAGAGAAAUGGAAGAAAUGAAGAGAGAAGAAGGAAGACUGGAAAACGAUAAGUUGUAUACACUGUGAAAAGAGAAGAGAAAGUUGAAAGAAGAUCUGCAGGUGCUAAUUGCUGAUAAGAUUAAAGAGACAAUGGAAACAGAUGAUGUGGACAAAAGUAAAAAGCUAAAAGAGGAGGUCAGACAAGCCACGGAUAUGGUAAGACAAUUCCAGCGGGAGAUAGAAGAGUGUGAAAGGAGGACACGACACUGCACUGAAGAAGGCCCAGCUUGCACAGAUCGAGACAGGAAGUGGUGAUUUUACUCACAAUAUGAUGGCGGCUCAAGUUGUUUCGACAGGCUCACCACAACCACAGCCUGCAGCUCCCCCACAGUCACAUCAGUCACACCCGUGAACCCAGUGCCUGCAGGGUAUGUGCUUUUCACCACUCAGCAUUAUGGUGACCCACAAACAUGGACUGGAAGAGGAGGUGGGCCCGCCAAAGCCCCUUGUGACUGGAACAACACUCAAUGCUGGACCUGUGGGCAGUUGGGGCAUGUGAGUUUGCAGUGUGGGGUAAAUGGAAGAGGAAGAGGUGACUAGAACAAUGCUGGACCUGUGGGCAGUUGGGGCAUGUGAGUUUGCAGUGUGGGGUAAAUGAAAGAGGAAGAGGUGACUAGAACAAUGCUGGACCUGUGGGCAGUUGGGGCAUGUGAGUUUGCAGUGUGGGGUAAAUGAAAGAGGAAGAGGUGACUAGAACAAUGCUGGACCUGUGGGCAGUUGGGGCAUGUGAGUUUGCAGUGUGGGGGAAAUGAAAGAGGAAGAGGUGACUAGAACAAUGCUGGACCUGUGGGCAGUUGGGGCAUGUGAGUUUGCAGUGUGGGGGAAAUGAAAGAGGAAGAGGUGACUAGAACAAUGCUGGACCUGUGGGCAGUUGGGGCAUGUGAGUUUGCAGUGUGGGGGAAAUGAAAGAGGAAGAGGUGACUAGAACAAUGCUGGACCUGUGGGCAGUUGGGGCAUGUGAGUUUGCAGUGUGGGGGAAAUGAAAGAGGAAGAGGUUGCAACAGGGGCAGAGGAAACAUGGGCCUUGCAGAGGAAGAGAAAAAUAGGGCAACAUGGCAACAAUAUGCUCCUCAGCCACAGUACCACUCGCCCGGAGCUGAAAAUGCUCCCCAGGGGCCACCUAUGCCCUAUGGACAAGGUGGACAAGUUAAUGACAGAGGACAGCCAUGGCCAAUGGGAAAUCAGAACACCAACAGUUCUUAUUUCCUUCCUUGCACAAAUUUGAAUCAGCAUGUAGAACAGUUCAUUUAUCGUUGCGAAACAUAUUUAUUAUUUAUUAUAUAAUAUAGACAAGGGAACUCCACUGCAACCAGGGAAGUUCCCCACUCCAAAAUGAUCUUUUAUCCACCUUGCUAUGGAUUUCAUAGACAUGGUAGAGCAAAAAGAAAGAAAGAGAUGCUGCCUGGUGAUAAUUGACAGGUUUAACAGGUGGGUGGAAGCAUUUCCCACCACCAACUGCGAUGCACGAACAGUUGCAAAAUUGCUAGUCAGGGAAAUUAUACUCAGGUUUGAAGUGCCUGAGGUUUUGUCUGCAGACAAUGGGACCCAUCUCAUAGGAGAUGUGGUUGCCCAAAUGGCCAAAAUGAUGGGUGUUGACCAGAAGUUUGUCUCCAUCUAUCACCCGCGGAGUAACGGGAGUUACUGAGAGGGCUAAUCAGACCCUGAAAGGCUCCCUUGCCAAACUGCCAUUCCACAGGAAUGACAUGGGUAGAGGGAUUGCCCCUUGUCCUCAUGAAAAUGCGCACCAGCCUUAACAAUGGUAUUGGGUGUACACCUUCCGAGAUGUUAACAAGACAACCAAUGAACACCCCAGGAGUGAGACCUAUGACUGUCCGACAGACAUAACAGAGGCACAGUGUGAUCACAUUGAGUACAUGAAAGAACUAACUUCUAUUGUCAGUUUUCUCCACUCUCACACUAGGAAAGCAGCAGAACCAGUCCCAGGUGAGGAUCCAGAUGCUCUGACCAUCUGCAUGGAAGUCUGGGUGAAACUAUUAGUCCAUAAAAGAAAAUGGAACCAGCCAAGAUGGAUGGGACCCUUCCAGGUAACCAUGGCAACACCGAUUGCAAUCCAGGUAGCGGAGAGGUCCGGCUGGCAUCAUCUCUCCCACUGCAAGACUCUCCCAGAGUGGAAGCCAUGGAUGAGUGACUGGAGGGAGAGCAGGGCCCCGAGAACAUCUGAAGGAGGAAGAAGGUUUCGAGCCAAAGGACAGAAGCAGAGGGCCCAGACCAAACGGCCGGAAAGAAAGAUGAAGAAGAAGGCUGUAGCCAACCAGCAGAGGAAGGAGACCAUUUCACACUCAGGUUGUCAACAAUCUGCUCGUCCAGCCACCAGUGCCGCUUCCUCAGGAGGCGGAGCCGGCGGAGCAUCCAGUCCUUAGUGGUUUCCGUGGCGAUGGGCUUGCAGCAGCAGUUUUUUCCCGGCUUUGCCCCAUCUGCCUGUCCCGACCCUGAGCCUGCCUGCCCCGACCCUGAGCCUGCCUGCCGUCCUGUACCUUUGUCCCGCUACUCUGGUUUAUCGACUUCUGCCUGCCCUGACUGUGAGCCUGCCUGCAGUCCCGUACCUUUGCCCCACAACUCUGGAUGACCAAGCUCUACCUGACCUGAUGUAACUCUGAGCCUGCCUGCCAUCCUGUACCUUUGCCCCUGUUCUUGUAAUAAACAUUGUAACUUCGACAGUCUGCAUCUGGGUCUUACCUUAAAACAUGAGAAAUGGAGCAUACAUCUACAUAGAGAGAUGGGACAUAAAUAUAAAUCCAGAAAUGGGACAGAACGUGUCUCCUUCCUGAGCGGUAUGACAGCUGCGUGGUCCCAUGGUGUU
Long non-coding RNA from Oncorhynchus tshawytscha (Chinook salmon), 5940 nucleotides. RefSeq lists it as uncharacterized. Lineage: Eukaryota; Metazoa; Chordata; Actinopteri; Salmoniformes; Salmonidae. The record is from RefSeq and is a predicted model, not a curated record. The transcript has 3 exons.